UUUUCAAGCAUCAAAAUUGUGGAGCUUAGAGGCAAAAUUGAACAUAUUCUAUGGCUAAAGCAUAGGAUAUGUUCAAUUUUGCCUCUGAGCUCCAUUAUUAUGCUUUUA
RNAcentral lists this microRNA precursor (108 nucleotides) under Phlebotomus papatasi. RNAcentral describes it as "microRNA MIR397". The record is from RNAcentral. Lineage: Eukaryota; Metazoa; Arthropoda; Insecta; Diptera; Psychodidae.